UACGGGGGGGGCAAGCGUUGUUCGGAAUUACUGGGCGUAAAGGGCUCGUAGGCGGCCAACUAAGUCGGACGUGAAAUCCCCAGGCUCAACCUGGGAACUGCGUCUGAUACUGGAUGGCUUGAAUCCGGGAGAGGGAUGCAGAAUUCCAGGUGUAGCGGUGAAAUGCGUAGAUAUCUGGAGGAACACCGGUGGCGAAGGCGGCAUCCUGGACCGGCAUUGACGCUGAGGAGCGAAAGCUAGGGGAGCGAACAGG
This 253-nucleotide ribosomal RNA is filed under the name uncultured bacterium. RNAcentral's name for it is "partial 16S ribosomal RNA". It matches the Rfam family "Bacterial small subunit ribosomal RNA", at positions 524 to 776 of the family's 1533-position model. The record is from RNAcentral.